Molecule: ribosomal RNA, 441 nt
Filed under: uncultured bacterium
Lineage: Bacteria
Description: partial 16S ribosomal RNA
Rfam family: Bacterial small subunit ribosomal RNA
Source: RNAcentral
CCUACGGGAGGCUGCAGUGGGGAAUAUUGCACAAUGGGGGAAACCCUGAUGCAGCGACGCCGCGUGAGCGAGGAAGUAUUUCGGUAUGUAAAGCUCUAUCAGCAGGGACGAAAAAAGACGGUACCUGACUAAGAAGCCCCGGCUAACUACGUGCCAGCAGCCGCGGUAAUACGUAGGGGGCAAGCGUUAUCCGGAUUUACUGGGUGUAAAGGGAGCGUAGACGGCAAGGCAAGCCAGAAGUGAAAGGGCAGGGCUCAACCCUGUACAUGCUUUUGGAACUGUGGUGCUGGAGUGCAGGAGAGGUAAGUGGAAUUCCUAGUGUAGCGGUGAAAUGCGUAGAUAUUAGGAGGAACACCAGUGGCGAAGGCGGCUUACUGGACUGUAACUGACGUUGAGGCUCGAAAGCGUGGGGAGCAAACAGGAUUAGAUACCCCGGUAGUC